CGAAACGAAAGCCCUAUUCGCAGGUCUGUUGUGGAAGAUCUGGAAAACCAGAAACUCGGUGGUCUUCAAAGGAUGUGUACCGGAUCCGAAAACCAUCAAAGAAGAUGCAGAAAUCGAAGCUGCCCUGUACAUAAAACAGUCAGCAAAGGGUUUUAACAAAAGCGGAGAAGCAAGUCAGAACCCUACAAGAACGCCGAUUUGGAACCCACCUGCUCGAAGUACGCUGAAUAUAAACGUGGAUAGUUCAUGGAGCGAGUCGUUGAGAGCAGGAUCGGUAGCCGGAGUGUGCAGGAACGCCAAUGGGACUCUCAUUGCUGGGUUCACAAAAUCAGUUCACGCAACAUCAGCU
This 349-nucleotide long non-coding RNA is filed under the name Eucalyptus grandis. RNAcentral's name for it is "long non-coding RNA (EGRA_LNC001753)". Lineage: Eukaryota; Viridiplantae; Streptophyta; Magnoliopsida; Myrtales; Myrtaceae. The record is from RNAcentral.